CCAACUCCCAGGGAGGUGGCUCACUGGGUACAUAAGGAAAUGCAAACUGGGCAGAAAGCAGUGAAUAUCCAGCCCCGGGGUCAUUCUUCCAGGGAAAAAGUGAAGCAAAGGUAAAGAGCGCCCAGUCGGGGCGAGGCUGGACCACACCUGGAGACCAGGAGUCUGCGCACUCGGCGUUGGCCUGGGAGCACCGCCACCCCCAAGGCAGAUAUCAGACAGGACCACAGCAAGUGCAUCCGGGACCUCUAGUCGCCAAGGUCCCCUGCAGGAGGGCCAGGAAGAGGGUGACACGAGAGGGCAGGGCGUGAGGAGCCUCGCGCUUGGUCGAGGUGUGCACGGCUCUGGAGAGCCUCUGUGGACACUGUGGCUGAGGUGGCUCUGGGUGGGGAGCCCAGCACCACCAACAUAAGUAAAUGAAUAAGAUGGGUCCUGCAGGGAACUAACUGAGGGUCGCGUUGGGGGACACCGCUGUGAGCUGAAGAGCCUGUGUGGGUGGAGGCAGGAGCCACGCUCACCGUCGACCUUCACAGCAGCUGCACGGAAUGUGGACUCGGAGGUGGCUCUAGGGCCCAGCCAGCCUGGGGCACUAGACAGACGCCACUGUGGGUCCAUGGCCCCUGUCAGGCAGGACUGUCCCCUUCCUUGUCAAUGCCAAGUGGCUUUCUAUGCAGGCCACAUGGGGCCUAUGAUGCCCCAGAGCCACGAGGAAUAAGCCGUUCCCAGUACGAAGGCCGCAGCUGGGGCCCUGGCACAGGCGCCCAGUGACUCCGCAGCUGCAAAAUGGGGCUGUUUCAAAUCCAGGAGCUGUGGAAAGUGCCUCUGCUUCCUCGAGGGCAAAAAUCAAAUGAGCAGCAGGAAUCAGGUUAGCCAGAGAGUGGGGAAAGGGCAAAGGGCACUGGGGGUGAGAGAGACGGAGGGCGCCGAGCCGGCGAGGCCACGCGUCCCAGACUCAAGUUCCAGGCAGCCUCGGCCACACAGCAGGCCCGGCUCACAGCGAGGAAUCGCUCAAGGGGCCUGGGAAAAGAAAGAUGUGGAGGAACACCGUGGACAUUGAUAAGAUCAAGGCAGAUGUGGUUCAAGGGCACCUGGACAGUCGGAUGGGAUGGCACACGGGGUGGGGGAGGCGGAGCUACAGCUGCCGUCGCAGGAUCCCCUGCGACAAAGUAACAAAGCAGCCCUCUUCUACCUCGGGGCUGCAAGUUGGGGAGAGCGCUGGAGACCCCAGGGGUGUUCCCCAGGGCUGGGCCCCGUGGCUUACCCCAGACCUGUGCCUCCCCCAGCUGCCCGGGGGCUGGGAAGGGCCGUGAGGAGAGCCUGGGUGGAGGACGUGCCGCACACAGGCGCUCUUCACACCACUGCUGGGUCGGAUCACAACCAUUGCCCAGGCCCCAGAUCUGAUUCACUGGGCAGGUGGAAGCCCUCACGGGCCCUUCCCAGCACUGGACCCUUGAAAGCAGUCUACCCACCUGGGGAGGUUGUGUCCCCACUUCCGCUUCUCCCCGGAACCCUGAGCAGAUUCACCUCACAGGCCUCCAUUUCCUUAUCUGCAAAGUGGGUAUACAAACGGAACCCGCCCUGCCUGGCACCGGUGGGUGUGCAAGUCCGACUGGCCACCAUCGUCAUUGUCCUCCUGGUGGUGUGUUCCCAGAGCACACAGUUCUGCAGAGCUGAUGGCUUCUUGCCUUCCAGGAAAUGCCCUUCACAGAUGAGCAGCGCACACCAGGGGGAAGCAACAGAGACCUGACUUCCUGCUCUUUAACAGCAGACUCCUGGAUCCUCAAACCGUCCUCUAGGUGAAAACUGGCAUCUCACCAGUUUCGAGUUUCUGGUGGAACUAAAGAGAACAUGUUCUCCCGGAGGCCAGCCCAAGGCGGGACCAGAAGCCCAGUGCACACAUGCCGGACCCAGCUUGGCACUGCCUGAGGCCCUGGCCUGACUUCUGUAGUUUAGGAUGCUGCGCCUCCAGGAUGGUUCAAAUCAGAUUUAAAAAAAAAAAUGCUUAAUGCUCAAAGAGAAGCAUCCAAAAUGGAAUUAUUUCUGGACUCAGUAGCGCACACGUGCCACCCCAGCUGCUUGGGAGGCUGAGGCAGGAGGAUUGCAAGUUCAAGGCCAACCUGGGCCACUUAGUGAGACUCUGUCUCAAAACACAACCAAAAAGAGCAAAGUGGGAUUAUGCCAGGAGGUGGAACCCGAGGCUGAGGUGUGGAGCCAUCCCCCGACCUCCUAAAAUCACCCACCACACGUACAGUGGCCCACAUGAUCUUUCGCCCCCUCCCCAAUUAUUAUUAUUAUUAUUAUUAUUUUGGUCCCGGGGAUUGAACCCUGGGUGCUUAACCACUGAGCCACAUCCCCAUCCCUUUUUUUAUUUUGAGACAGGGUCUCACUAGUUGCUAGGAUCUCGCUAAGUUGCUGAGGCUGACUUUGAACUUGUGAUCCACCUGCCUCCGUGUCUGGAGUCACUGGGAUUACGUGCGUGUGCCGCGGUGCCCGGCUCAAAUGACUACAUCUUUAAUGUUACUAUAUUCCUUAGUCCAUUUUGUGUUUCUCUAACUGAAUAACAUAGACCCGGUGAUUUAUAAGGAAAAUAACCUUCUGGAGGCAGGGGAGUCCCGGAUCAAGGGCUGCACCUGCUGAGGGCCUUCAUGCCGGUUGACCCCGCGGAGCCUCAAGGUGAUGCAGGCACCAUGUGGCAAGACAGAGCAAGGUGGUGGCUCAGCUCUCUCUUCCUCCUCUCAUAAAGCCGCUCUCCUGACCUCUUCUGCAUCCAGUUACCUAAGGCCCUGCCUCCAAGUUCCAUUACCAUGUGACUUUGAGAAUUAAGUUUCAAUUUGAGUUUUGGGGACAAACCCCUAGAUGAGGCUCUGCAUCGGGGCUGUACGAGGCUCCCCUAGACCCCUCCACCACAGCGAGGCAGCUGAGCAGGCUCAGAGCCCCGGCUCCACUCCCGCCUCAACGCGUGGCACUGAGCAAGUGGUCCCACCCUCCAAGCUUCAGCUUCCUCCAGCGGUGACACCAGCACAGCCCCCAUCACGUGCCCUGUGGUGUCUGCCAUUAGCUUCAUCACCCAGGAAGGCCACAGUGACCUGUCCCUGGGCACCCUUGAUGCUUCUCCAAACCCUGGCCACCUUGUCGGCUGGCCACCGUGGUACGUCCCCUCCUUGCCUGCAGGAAGGCCACCGUUUUCCAUGUGUGAUGCGUCAGAGUUAUUCAGGAAGAGCAAGGCCAGCAGCACCAGGUGCCGGGGGACAAAUUAAUAAAGAGAGCGCUGAGAACAGCGGCCCAGACACAGGUGGAGAGGGCCCAGAGCCGUCCCCUAGAAGGCCGGCCAGGCAGCGCCUUGCUGCCGACGGGAUGUGGGUGGUGGCUCCUGGCAUGGGACGAGCUGGGGGAGGAGUUCCCAGCAGAGGAAAUCAAAGGCACAGCUUCUCAGUCUCUAGCUGCAGGAGGGAGCUCAGAGCAUCCUAGGGACUGUGCUGGGAGAGGUGACUCAGGUGGCCAAAGAGAUAACGGCCCCUCAGAUUGCUCCAACCCAGUGAGCUGGAUGGCAUAGACUCCCUGUGGUCAGAGCGAACCUGGGCCACCUUGCAACUGUCCUUGACAUGCUGGGCUGACUCCUCUCUCUUGGGUGGCAUCUGAGUAACUCGGAGCCCAUGUGACCCAAGGUGCAACCGGGGGCCAGGGACACCAGCAGAGCCAGCCAGGGCCUCGGGGAGCGUCCUGAGGCUCCGGCUCCCGCCGAGGUCCAGGCCUCGGGACUGAAGUCUAAGAAUCUAGUGGACACGCAGGACCCCGGGGCAUAACCAAGCUGAAGAGCAUGUGGCUCCUGGUCUUGUAACCCAGGGUGACAGGCAGGAGUCUCAGACUCUUGCUGAGCCUCUGGAUGCUGCACGCAGCCACCCAGUGGAAAGCCACGGACGAGCCCCGACUGGGCCCUGGUGGGGACGCUCGCUUCUGCUCCUUCUGCUAGCCCAGCCCCGGCACCGCCCCACCCCAGGAGCUGCAUCCAAGGCCUCUGGCUAGUCAAGUCUGGGGCUCAGGAGGGCACGGCACAGCCCCUCACCUGAGCACCCAGAGUGGACAGAACCCUGGUGCUCCAGGGCCACACAGUAAAGGAAGCCACCAACCAGACGUCUUGACAAAGGACAAGGGGCUCUGUGGCCCACACCUGCGAUCCCAGAGCUGGGAGGCUGAGGCAGGAGGAUCACAAGUUCAAAGCCAAUCUGGGCAAUUUAGUGAGAUUCUGUCUCAAAAUAAAAACAAUAAAGACUGGGGAUGUAACUCAGUGAUAGGGUGUCCCUUGGCUCAAUCCCAGCGCCCCACCCCAAGAAAAGGAGAGUGCGGGGUGUUGCAGCCGCUUGGCUCCCCCUUGACUCCUGAGUUGAGGUGCUAACCCCAGCGCUUCAGGGUGCCACUCUGGUCAUUGCAAACACAAGAAGUUCAAAUGAGGUCGUGGUGGGGUGGGGUGGGGUGGCCAGCAUGGCUGGAGGCCUUCUCAAAGCUGGGACCACAGCAGGGACAAGGCCAUGCGAAGACAAGUUCUGUUCCACAAGCCCGGGAUCUGCCGGAGGGGCCGGGACAGACCCUGCCACAGCCUCCAGAGGUGGCGGAGCCCUGGCCACGCCACUCUUGGGCUUCUGGCCUCCAGCGCUGCAGUGGGUAUUUAAAGCAGCCAGGUUGUGGUCCUUGGGGACAGCAACCUUGGAAACCAAGAGGGAGGUGAGAGGAGUGGGGUGGCCCCAAGGCCCAGUCUCGAGUCUGCCUUGAACUUGAGCCCCAUCCACAAGGUGUGCCCAGCCCCACGCGUGGAGGCAAGCCGGGCUAGCUUGUGGGCUCCACCCGGGUGCAGUUUGUUUCCCUGGAGACCUGGUUCCCCUUUGUCCU
Molecule: long non-coding RNA, 4881 nt
Filed under: Marmota monax (woodchuck)
Lineage: Eukaryota; Metazoa; Chordata; Mammalia; Rodentia; Sciuridae
Source: RNAcentral